Molecule: ribosomal RNA, 433 nt
Filed under: uncultured bacterium
Lineage: Bacteria
Description: partial 16S ribosomal RNA
Rfam family: Bacterial small subunit ribosomal RNA
Source: RNAcentral
AACGAACGCUGGCGGCAGGCUUAACACAUGCAAGUCGAGCGCAUCCUUCGGGGUGAGCGGCGGACGGGUGAGUAACGCGUGGGAACGUGCCCUCUUCUACGGAAUAGCCUCGGGAAACUGAGAGUAAUGCCGUAUACGCCCGCAAGGGGAAAGAUUUAUCGGAGGAGGAUCGGCCCGCGUUGGAUUAGGUAGUUGGUGGGGUAAUGGCCUACCAAGCCGACGAUCCAUAGCUGGUUUGAGGGGAUGAUCAGCCACACUGGGACUGAGACACGGCCCAGACUCCUACGGGAGGCAGCAGUGGGGAAUCUUGGACAAUGGGGGCAACCCUGAUCCAGCCAUGCCGCGUGAUCGAUGAAGGCCUUAGGGUUGUAAAGAUCUUUCAGCUGGGAAGAUAAUGACGGUACCAGCAGAAGAAGCCCCGGCUAACUCCGUG